This 303-nucleotide long non-coding RNA is filed under the name Linum usitatissimum (flax). RNAcentral describes it as "long non-coding RNA (LUSI_LNC007955)". Lineage: Eukaryota; Viridiplantae; Streptophyta; Magnoliopsida; Malpighiales; Linaceae. The record is from RNAcentral.
UUUUCUCUCAACUCCAUCGCGAUUUCCUCUCGAUGAAACCCUUCUCCGACGAAAAAUCGGACGAUUUCCCAUGAAAUCUCCGACGAUUUCGUUAAUUCCUUCCUCUGUUCUCUUGUUUUCAACACAUUUGACCUAUCAAUCCGACGAUUUCGUCGAUUACAACUCCCAGAAAUGAAUAUUUUCCGAUUAGGGUUCAUAUCUCCCCUGAUUCUUCGAUUAUUAUCACAGAUAAGUCAUAUAAUAUCGAUGCAUGCACUUAUUCUUUCCUUCUUCUUCGUGUAUUAUGAGUUUCUCACAACUUGU